This 21-nucleotide microRNA is filed under the name Corchorus olitorius. RNAcentral's name for it is "bdi-miR16". Lineage: Eukaryota; Viridiplantae; Streptophyta; Magnoliopsida; Malvales; Malvaceae. The record is from RNAcentral.
UAUCGGACCAGGCUUCAUUCC